GCAGCCAUGAGCCUUCAUAUGCGAUGGACCCUUCUUAUCUUAUUGUUUCUACACAACACAGAUAUCUCCUGGGCAGACAGCUUCAUUGUUGUUGGUCCUUCUAAGCCCAUUGUCACCUAUGUCGGUGAAGAUGUGGUCCUGCCAGCCUCCCUCUCAACGGCGCUUAAUGCCAAGGCCUUUGAAGUGAGGUGGUUUACAACUGACAUCUUAUCACCGUUGCUUUUAUACCAAAAUAACAAAAUCAGACAAUAGAGUGACAGAAGAAAAACCCUGAGCAUAGACAACCUCAAGAAUGGUAACGUGUCUCUAAUAAUCAGAAAUGUCCGUGUUUCAGAUGAUCAUCUCUACAGGUAUGUUGUGUACUCUGGACAAAGAGAAGAUUAGACUCAGGUCUCACUCACAGUUGAAGUUUUAGGUGCUCAGCCCUCCAUUUUAAUGAGCUGCACUGAAAGUCAGAAGACCCGACUGGAGUGCAGCUCUGAGAAGUGGAACCCCCAACCAGAAGUCACCUGGACGGACAUGAAUGGAGCAGACGUGACAUCACAGUCCACAAUAAAAUCAGAGUGGGACUCCGAGGGGCUUCUGACAGUGAGCAGCGUUCUUCCAGUGAAGGAGGAGUACAAUGUGUUCAGCUGUAUGAUGAGAAGUUAAGAACCAAAGCCAGACUGGCACUCCCGACUUGGCAUCUACGUCAUGAUAAAGUGUAGCAUUGGUCAAUGCCUUGGUUUUACACAGAAUUUGACAAUGAAGCAUGUAUUUGUAGAUCAAUCUAAAAAGCUAGGCUCCCAUUUAGUUAAUAUCUUGAAAAAUCUGAACCAUUUAAUUUGGAAAAUUUUUUAGAAAAAAAUUGUAAUGAAACACAUAUUAAUUAUGGUAAUCAUUUGAAAAUAUGCUUUACUAUUGUGACUCACCUUGAAAUGUCACAGUAGUUUCAAUCUAUACUAAUAAAAGGCAAAGCCCUCACUGACUGACUGACUGACUGACUGACUGACUGACUCUUCACUAAUUCUCCAACUUCCCGUGUAGGUAGAAGGCUGAAAUUUGGCAGGCUCAUUCCUUACAGCUUACUUACAAAAGUUAGGCAGGUUUCAUUUCGAAAUUCAAAUCGUAACGGUCAUAACUGGAACCUAUUUUUUUGUCCAUAUACUGUAAUGGACGGGGGCGGAGUCGCGUAUCGCGUCAUCACACCUCCUACGUAAUCACGUGAAACGCCUUGGGGCCGAUCUGGAAGAAGGUAGCACAGCGCCUUGAUUUUAACGGUUCCAUGUCUUGGUGGGUUUAAUACUGUGUAAGCAUACAUAUUAACACAUGUGCAAUUAAACGUGUGCAUUUACGGGGUGAU
Long non-coding RNA from Erpetoichthys calabaricus (reedfish), 1342 nucleotides. RefSeq lists it as uncharacterized. The transcript has 3 exons. NCBI's taxonomy places the organism in Eukaryota, Metazoa, Chordata, Cladistia, Polypteriformes, Polypteridae. The record is from RefSeq and is a predicted model, not a curated record.